This 72-nucleotide transfer RNA is filed under the name Candidatus Pacearchaeota archaeon. RNAcentral describes it as "tRNA-Arg". It matches the Rfam family "tRNA". From Rfam's summary of the family: Transfer RNA (tRNA) molecules are approximately 80 nucleotides in length. Their secondary structure includes four short double-helical elements and three loops (D, anti-codon, and T loops). Lineage: Archaea; Nanobdellati. The record is from RNAcentral.
GCUCCCGUAGUUCAAUGGAUAGAACGCAUCGUUGCGGUCGAUGAAAUCCGGGUUCAAUUCCUGGCGGGAGCG